This 776-nucleotide ribosomal RNA is filed under the name Duckeella adolphii. RNAcentral describes it as "eukaryotic LSU rRNA". The stretch from base 330 to 484 matches the Rfam family "5.8S ribosomal RNA". Lineage: Eukaryota; Viridiplantae; Streptophyta; Magnoliopsida; Asparagales; Orchidaceae. The record is from RNAcentral.
GGCUUACCGCGCAUGACGCAGCGAGAAGUCCAUUGAACCUUAUCAUUUAGAGGAAGGAGAAGUCGUAACAAGGUUUCCGUAGGUGAACCUGCGGAAGGAUCAUUGAUGAGAUCUGUGCCUCGGCGAACGACUAACGCUGCAAAACCAUCUGGACGCGUCGGACCUGCGCCCGUGCUGACCGCGGGAAGGGGGCAGCUCGGGGGCAGAAUAAUAAGGCCAGGUGUCGAGUACACCAAGCUAUGCAGGAUAUCAUCGUCGCGCAGCUGUGGGGUAUCUGCCCUGCGGGCCUGCCUGGGGAUGGCUACUUGUCGCAUGACAGCGAUCUUUAUAACUCUCGACAACGGAUAUCUUGGCUCUCGCAUCGAUGAAGAACGCAGCGAAAUGUGAUAGGUGGUGUGAAUUGCAGAAUCCCGUGAACCAUUGAGUAUUUGAACGCAAGUUGCGCUCGAGGCUAUUAGCCGAGGGCUCGCCUACCUGCGCGUCGUGCGAUCUUUCGCUCCCCCUUGCAGCUGGCAUAGUCGCCGCACCUUUCGGGCACGGCCAGCUGCGACGCGGAUGCGAUCGGUGGCCCUACAUGCGAUAGCGUGUUGGGCUAAAGUGGGGUCCCUUGUCGGCGUGCAACAGCCCUGGCAAUUUGUGGAUGAUGCGCGGGGAGACCCUUCCGACGACCGGAGAUCCUUUUUGCCGGAGCAGCCGAUCAAGUUACGACCGCAACGAACCCGACAGUUACCACGGCCUCUGUUCAGUAGCCGGCGGAACGUGACCUCAGGUUAGGU